CUACGGGGCGCUGCAGUGAGGAAUAUUGGUCAAUGGGCGCGAGCCUGAGCCAGCCAUCCCGCGUGCAGGAUGACGGCCCUAUGGGUUGUAAACUGCUUUUCUAUGCCAAGAAACCUGAUUACGUGUAAUCAGUUGCCGGUAGCAUAGGAAUAAGCAUCGGCUAACUCCGUGCCAGCAGCCGCGGUAAUACGGAGGAUGCAAGCGUUAUCCGGAUUCAUUGGGUUUAAAGGGUGCGCAGGUGGGCUUGUAAGUCAGUGGUGAAAUGCUGCCGCUUAACGGUAGAACUGCCAUUGAUACUGGAGUCUUGAGUAUGGUUGAGGUAGGCGGAAUGUGUUGUGUAGCGGUGAAAUGCAUAGAUAUGACACAGAACGCCAAUUGCGAAGGCAGCUUACUAAGCCAUUACUGACGCUGAGGCACGAAAGCGUGGGGAGCGAACAGGAUUAGAUACCCGGGUAGUC
This 458-nucleotide ribosomal RNA is filed under the name uncultured bacterium. Its description in RNAcentral is "partial 16S ribosomal RNA". It matches the Rfam family "Bacterial small subunit ribosomal RNA", at positions 339 to 795 of the family's 1533-position model. The record is from RNAcentral.